Molecule: ribosomal RNA, 724 nt
Filed under: uncultured Alphaproteobacteria bacterium
Lineage: Bacteria; Pseudomonadati; Pseudomonadota; Alphaproteobacteria
Description: bacterial SSU rRNA
Rfam family: Bacterial small subunit ribosomal RNA
Source: RNAcentral
AGUGGCAGACGGGUGAGUAACGCGUGGGAACCUGCCCAGUAGUAGAGAAUAACUUGAGGAAACUUAAGCUAAUACUUUAUACACCCUCCGGGGAAAAGCUUUAUGCGCUAUUGGAUGGGCCCGCGUUAGAUUAGUUUGUUGGUGAGGUAAUGGCUCACCAAGACUACGAUCUAUAGCUGGUCUGAGAGGAUGAUCAGCCACACUGGGACUGAGACACGGCCCAGACUCCUACGGGAGGCAGCAGUGGGGAAUAUUGGACAAUGGGGGCAACCCUGAUCCAGCGAUGCCGCGUGAGUGAUGAAGGCCUUCGGGUUGUAAAACUCUUUCGUCAGGGAAGAUAAUGACGGUACCUGAAGAAGAAGAUCCGGCUAACUCCGUGCCAGCAGCCGCGGUAAUACGGAGGGAUCUAGCGUUAUUCGGAAUUACUGGGCGUAAAGCGAGCGUAGGCGGAUUUGUAAGUUGGAGGUGAAAUCCCAGAGCUUAACUCUGGAACUGCCUUCAAAACUACAUUUCUUGAGUUUGGUAGAGGAGAGUGGAAUUCCUAGUGUAGAGGUGAAAUUCGUAGAUAUUAGGAGGAACACCAGUGGCGAAGGCGACUCUCUGGGCCAAUACUGACGCUGAGGUUCGAAAGCAUGGGUAGCGAACAGGAUUAGAUACCCUGGUAGUCCAUGCAGUAAACGAUGAGUGCUAGAUGUUGGGAAUUUAAAUUUCCAGUAUCGCAGUU